RNAcentral lists this ribosomal RNA (511 nucleotides) under uncultured bacterium. RNAcentral describes it as "partial 16S ribosomal RNA". It matches the Rfam family "Bacterial small subunit ribosomal RNA", at positions 28 to 506 of the family's 1533-position model. The record is from RNAcentral.
GAUGAACGCUGGCGGCGUGCCUAAUACAUGCAAGUCGAACGAAACUUCUUUAUCACCGAGUGCUUGCACUCACCGAUAAAGAGUUGAGUGGCGAACGGGUGAGUAAUACGUGGGCAACCUGCCCAAAAGAGGGGGAUAACACUUGGAAACAGGUGCUAAUACCGCAUAACCAUAGUUACCGCAUGGUAACUAUGUAAAAGGUGGCUAUACUACCGCUUUUGGAUGGGCCCGCGGCGCAUUAGCUAGUUGGUAGGGUAAAGGCUUACCAAGGCAAUGAUGCGUAGCCGAAUUGAGAGGUUGAUCGGCCACAUUGGGACUGAGACACGGCCCAAACUCCUACGGGAGGCAGCAGUAGGGAAUCUUCCACAAUGGGCGAAAGCCUGAUGGAGCAACGCCGCGUGGGUGAAGAAGGUCUUCGGAUCGUAAAACCCUGUUGUUAGAGAAGAAAGUGCGUGAGAGUAACUGUUCACGUUUCGACGGUAUCUAACCAGAAAGCCACUGCUAACUACGU